RNAcentral lists this ribosomal RNA (119 nucleotides) under Castor canadensis (American beaver). Lineage: Eukaryota; Metazoa; Chordata; Mammalia; Rodentia; Castoridae. The record is from RNAcentral.
GUCUACGGCCACACCACCCUGAACACACCCGAUCUCAUCUGAUCUCGGAAGCUAAGCAGAGUCCGGCCUGGUUAGUACUUGGACGAGUGAUAAGAGAAAAACCUCUGGAGCUGGGGAUA